GCAUGCUGCUGGGCAGGGAGGAGACAGGACGGCACGGUGGCUCCAGCGCGCAGGGGGGCUGCACAGCGUGGGGGCAGCUACAGAGCAGUCACGGCAUCUUAAUCAUCGGGAACAAUGACCUGAGGGCAGCACAGGCCCGGAUUCACCAGGAGCACAACCAAGAGAAACUGGAUACAGACUGGAGGAGAAGGAAGAGAAAAAGGCAUCAGGGCAGAUGUUUCUAGACAACACAAGCUGUGGCCCAGCCCCCACGGACGACAGGACGGAAGCAGCGGAGAGAAGGAGGCGGCUCUUCAGACCGUAGCCCGCCAGGUUCCUCUGUCUGUCCAUGGGGUUCUCCAGGCAAGAAGACUGGAGUGGGCAUACUCCAGGGCAUCUUCCCCACCCAGGGACUGAACCCACGUCUCUUGUGGCUCCUGCACUGACAGCCAGCCCUUGGUUUGAUUUCCAGAAGUCAAAGCAAAUUGAGCAAGAGCCAAAAACAAAUGUGCUUACUUCCCAAUUUUGCCUGGGUCUACAACAGAGCUAAGACUCCAGAUUCUGAUGCUGUGACGAAUUUUCAUCUAAACCUGCUCCCUCAUCUGAGCCUCUCCUUUAUGCAAUAGCCAAUGUCUGCAGGACAGCUGGAUGACAAACACUUAUAACAAUAAAAUGAAACCACCAAAAGGCCUACAUACACUUUUUACCACUUUCAAGCUCUAAUGAAAUGAUGUGUUUGAAUCUCAAAAACCAUUAUUCUGAGUAAAGGAAGGCAGUACACAAAACAGUGUCUACUGUAAUGUUCUGUUUAUAUGACUUCCAAGAAUAGGCAAUACUAACGUAUGGUGGUAGAAGUCAGAAACUGGCAGGAUAUAAGCGGGGUGUGAAGGACAUUUUUAGAGUGAUGGAAAUGUUCUGUAUCUUAACUUUGGAUGGUAGUUACAUGGGUUAAAAGUCAACUAGCUGCAUCAACUGUGAAUUUCACUGUACACUGAGUAUAUCUCAACUUUUAAAUGUAUUAAGUACUUUUAAUGCAUUAAUACCUUUAAUACAUAAGUACAUUUAAUACUGGAGUGGCUACCAACUCCAGUAUUUUUGCCUAGAGAAUUCUAUGGACAGAGAAGCCUGGUGAGCUACAGUUCAUGGAGUUGCAAAGAGUCAGACAUGAUUGAGUGACUAACACUUUCACUUUUUUCAAGUGACUAUUAUCACUAAAUAAAAGCUUUUUUGAGGAUAUGUCUUCAGAAAUCUUGAAGAUCUUUAGGAUCAUUGCCAUUAUAUUAAUUUCUCGCCAGAGGAGUGGUUAAGAGGUUGAGGUGACAAGAGAAAGGAGAAGGUAGGUGGAGGUGGUUCUUGGCCUCCAUGCCCAUCUCUCUCACAGGCACGUGCUAGCAAUAAGUCCUCAGAUAUCUCAAUUGGGGGACCUGGUCUUUAACAAAAAAAAAAAAAGCAGAAAAUGAGGAAA
This is a long non-coding RNA of Dama dama (fallow deer), 1444 nucleotides long. RefSeq lists it as uncharacterized. The record is from RefSeq and is a predicted model, not a curated record. The transcript is spliced from 3 exons. Lineage: Eukaryota; Metazoa; Chordata; Mammalia; Artiodactyla; Cervidae.